Felis catus (domestic cat) is the source of this 85-nucleotide transfer RNA. It matches the Rfam family "tRNA". From Rfam's summary of the family: Transfer RNA (tRNA) molecules are approximately 80 nucleotides in length. Their secondary structure includes four short double-helical elements and three loops (D, anti-codon, and T loops). The record is from Rfam. Lineage: Eukaryota; Metazoa; Chordata; Mammalia; Carnivora; Felidae.
ACCUGGAUGGCUAAGUCGGUUAAGCAUCCGACUUUGGCUCAGGUCAUGAUCUCCCAGUCCGUGGGUUCGAGCCCCACAUCAGGCU